GUAAACGAUGUCGACUAGGAGUUGGGGCCUUUGAGGCUUUAGUUGCGCAGCUAACGCGAUAAGUCGACCGCCUGGGGAGUACGGUCGCAAGGUUAAAACUCAAAUGAAUUGACGGGGGCCCGCACAAGCGGUGGAGCAUGUGGUUUAAUUCGAUGCAACGCGAAGAACCUUACCUGGUCUUGACAUCCAGGGAACUUUCCAGAGAUGGAUUGGUGCCUUCGGGAAUUUUCAUACAGGUGCUGCAUGGCUGUCGUCAGCUCGUGUUGUGAAAUGUUGGGUUAAGUCCCGCAACGAGCGCAACCCUUUUCCUUUGUUGCCAGCAUUUAGGCUGGGAACUCAAAGGAGACGCCAGUGAUAAACGGAGGAAGGGGGGGAUGACGUCAAGUCAUCAUGGCCCUUACGAGCAGGGCUACACACGUGCUACAAUGGAGGGUACAAAGAGUAGCGACCUAGCGAGAGCAAGCUAACCUCUUAAACCGUUCGUAGUCCGGAUUGGAGUCUGCAACUCGACUCCAUGAAGUGGAAAUCGUUGGUAAUCGCGGAUCAGAAAGCCGCGGUGAUUACGUUCCCGGCCCUGUCCCCACCCCCCGCACACCCAUGGAGUUGGGUCACCAGAAGUAGGGUGGCUAAC
This 631-nucleotide ribosomal RNA is filed under the name Acinetobacter sp. RNAcentral's name for it is "bacterial SSU rRNA". It matches the Rfam family "Bacterial small subunit ribosomal RNA", at positions 802 to 1439 of the family's 1533-position model. The record is from RNAcentral. Lineage: Bacteria; Pseudomonadati; Pseudomonadota; Gammaproteobacteria; Moraxellales; Moraxellaceae.